This 419-nucleotide ribosomal RNA is filed under the name Fusobacteriota bacterium. RNAcentral's name for it is "Fusobacteria bacterium partial 16S ribosomal RNA". It matches the Rfam family "Bacterial small subunit ribosomal RNA", at positions 356 to 776 of the family's 1533-position model. Lineage: Bacteria; Fusobacteriati; Fusobacteriota. The record is from RNAcentral.
UGGGGAUAUUGCACAAUGGGCGAAAGCCUGAUGCAGCGACGCCGCGUGGGGGAUGAAGGCCUUCGGGUUGUAAACUUCUUUUGCUCUGAACAAGGCAUGCCUUUGGGGUGUGUUGAGUGUAGGGGUUGAUUAGCGCCGGCUAACUACGUGCCAGCAGCCGCGGUAAUACGUAGGGCGCGAGCGUUGUCCGGAAUUAUUGGGCGUAAAGGGCUUGUAGGUGGCUGGCUGCGUCUGUCGUGAAAGCUCAUGGCUUAACUGUGGGUUUGCGGUGGGUACGGGCUGGCUUGAGUGCAGUAGGGGAGGCUGGAAUUCCUGGUGUAGCGGUGGAAUGCGCAGAUAUCAGGAGGAAUACCGGUGGCGAAGGCGGGUCUCUGGGCUGUUACUGACGCUGAGGAGCGAAAGCGUGGGGAGCGAACAGG